CGAGCCGGCCGGGCGGCCGCGUCGGGGUCCUCCGUACGGAGGCCUCGCCGAGGAAGGUCCGGGCUCCACAGGGCAGGGUGGUCGGUAACACCGACCCGGGGUGACCCGCGGGAAAGUGCCACAGAAAGCAGACCGCCUCCGGCGCACGCCAGGAGGUAAGGGUGAAAGGGUGGUGUAAGAGACCACCAGCGUCCGUGGUGACACGGGCGGCUAGGUAAACCCCACCCGGAGCAAGGUCAAGAAGGGAUCCCUCGGGAUCCCGCGCGCGGCGCCUGAGGGUGGCCCGCCCGAGCCGCGCGGGUAGACCGCUUGAGGCCGUCGGCAACGACGGUCCUAGAUGGAUGGCCGCCGGUUCCGCGCCAGCGGAAUCACAGAACCCGGCCUACAGGCCGACUCGUCCG
RNAcentral lists this RNase P RNA (401 nucleotides) under Thermopolyspora flexuosa. RNAcentral describes it as "Bacterial RNase P class A". It matches the Rfam family "Bacterial RNase P class A". From Rfam's summary of the family: Ribonuclease P (RNase P) is a ubiquitous endoribonuclease, found in archaea, bacteria and eukarya as well as chloroplasts and mitochondria. Its best characterised activity is the generation of mature 5'-ends of tRNAs by cleaving the 5'-leader elements of precursor-tRNAs. The record is from Rfam by way of RNAcentral. Lineage: Bacteria; Bacillati; Actinomycetota; Actinomycetes; Streptosporangiales; Streptosporangiaceae.